GAUUUAUCGUCUUACAGGUAUGUGUGUCCCUCAGCCCCAAGGUUAGACUCAGCUGUUUCACAAGUUCAGUGGCACCUUCAGUUUUCUGUCUCCAGAUAAGCCACAUCCCUGCCCCCUUGAAGCCAAUUUCAAAUUGCUCAGAGACAUUCCUGAAAUCCGCCAGUAUGCCAGAAGGAAGGAGACAUUCCCAAUUCCUUUCCUGAGGCUUAGUGCCUGUGUUCAGGUAUUUUGUUUGCAUGUAGGCCUGUGCCCCACUUGCAUGAAAUACCCACAGAGGCUGGUAGGCGGCAUCAGAUUCUCUGGAACUGCAGUUAACAGGCAGUUGUGAGCUGCUACGUGGGCACUGUGAAUCCAGCCUAGAUCCUCUGGAAGACCAGCUUUUAACUACCUAGUCCUCUCUCCAGCCCCCGAAGUUAACCUCUUGAAACCUCAUUUUCUUGGUUUUAAAAUAGAGAAAAGUAAAAUUCUGAGAACCUGAGUGAAGAUUUGAAGCUCAUUCCUAUAACAAAGGAAGAGUCCAGUGCUACUUAACAGCUUAAACUCUUAAGGUGCCAGUGUGUUUGAUGCUCCCUUAUCUGUGCAGCAGUAUUUGAUAUAUUUCACCUGGCGCCUACUUUUCAGCAGCUGUGGAGGGUAUUUACAAAGCCCAAGAAAUGCUGUCUCCAGAGGAUGCAGGAAGUGAUGCCGUCCUGGGAAGGGUGCACGAGUUCAUGAUGCAGAGUGAAAGUCCCUCACUCCUGCAGUUGAUGCUUCCAGCGAGUUCAGAGUUAGGAAAGCGCUUCCCGAACUCAGAGAAAAUAAACCGUUCCAUAUGGAGCAGAUUCUGAAAUUAGAUUAAUCACACGUUCUAAAACAAGUUUCAUCUGUCCGCCUCCCACAAGAUGAUCUAAAUCACCAUCCUCAGGUCAUGUGGCAGAAACACUAUUAUCUGACAGCCGGCUCAAAGUGGAGGACUUGACAGCGAACAGCAAGGAGCUGAGGUUUGCCAUGAAGACUGACCUUUCCAGGGAAAUUUCUAGAACUUAUUCAACAUGGGAGGAGAGAAAAAGAGAAGGGGAAGUGUCCCGCGCGCGCUAUGUUCUCACCGGCAAGAAUCACGCAGGACACUCGGAUCCUUCUGCAGGAAAGCUUUAAUGCGUCUUGAGAGAGGAGAGCAUAAGCUUACCAGAGCGGAGACCCCGGCCCAAGAAUCCCGUUCCUUAAUAAAGGCUGGCAGCCCGCCUGGGAUGUGUUACCCUAUGAAUGGCUUCAGCUCCUCAGGCCA
Molecule: long non-coding RNA, 1264 nt
Filed under: Cricetulus griseus (Chinese hamster)
Lineage: Eukaryota; Metazoa; Chordata; Mammalia; Rodentia; Cricetidae
Description: lncRNA (ENSCGRG00015035321.1)
Source: RNAcentral